Molecule: long non-coding RNA, 1411 nt
Filed under: Homo sapiens (human)
Lineage: Eukaryota; Metazoa; Chordata; Mammalia; Primates; Hominidae
Description: non-protein coding lnc-EXOC3-12:1
Source: RNAcentral
GACUGUGAGGCGUGGACUGUGAGGUGUGACUGAGGUGUGACUGUGAGGCGUGGACUGUGAGGUGUGACUGAGGUGUGACUGAGGUGUGACUGUGAGGCGUGGACUGUGAGGUGUGACUGUGAGGCGUGGACUGUGAGGCGUGGACUGUGAGGUGUGACUGUGAGGCGUGGACUGUGAGGUGUGACUGUGAGGUGUGACUGUGAGGUGUGACUGUGAGGCGUGGACUGUGAGGUGUGACUGUGAGGCGUGGACUGUGAGGUGUGACUGUGAGGCGUGGACUGUGAGGUGUGACUGUGAGGUGUGACUGUGGGUGUGAGGUGUGACUGUGAGGCGUGGACUGAGGUGUGACUGUGAGGCGUGGACUGUGAGGUGUGACUGUGAGGUGUGGACUGUGAGGUGUGACUGUGAGGUGUGACUGUGAGGCGUGGACUGUGAGGUGUGACUGUGAGGCGUGGACUGUGAGGUGUGACUGUGAGGUGUGACUGUGGGUGUGAGGUGUGACUGUGAGGCGUGGACUGAGGUGUGACUGUGAGGCGUGGACUGUGAGGUGUGACUGUGAGGCGUGGACUGUGAGGUGUGACUGUGAGGUGUGACUGUGAGGCGUGGACUGUGAGGCGUGGACUGUGAGGCGUGGACUGUGAGGGGUGACUGUGAGGCGUGGACUGUGAGGUGUGACUGUGAGGUGUGACUGUGAGGCGUGGACUGUGAGGUGUGACUGUGAGGUGUGACUGUGAGGCGUGGACUGUGAGGCGUGGACUGUGAGGCGUGGACUGUGAGGCGUGGACUGUGAGGCGUGGACUGUGAGGUGUGGACUGUGAGGUGUGACUGUGAGGUGUGACUGUGAGGCGUGGACUGUGAGGCGUGGACUGUGAGGCGUGGACUGUGAGGUGUGACUGUGAGGCGUGGACUGUGAGGUGUGACUGUGAGGCGUGGACUGUGAGGUGUGACUGUGAGGUGUGGACUGUGAGGUGUGACUGUGAGGCGUGGACUGUGAGGCGUGGACUGUGAGGUGUGACUGUGAGGCGUGGACUGUGAGGUGUGACUGAGGCGUGGACUGUGAGGUGUGACUGUGAGGUGUUACUGUGAGGCGUGGACUGUGAGGUGUGACUGUGAGGCGUGGACUGUGAGGUGUGACUGAGGCGUGGACUGUGAGGUGUGACUGUGAGGUGUGACUGUGAGGUGUGACUGAGGCAUGGACUGUGAGUUGUGAAUGUGAGGUGUGGACUGAGAGUUGUGGACUGUGAGAUAUGACCUGUGUGCAGUGUGACCAGGGGAGAGAGGUGCAUGAGAGAUGGUCGGGCACGGCGGGGCAACCUGGUUCCCCUGGGCGGUAGUCCGGCAGCUGUGCUUCCCCCUUCACUGCAGUGCGUGUUCAGUUGGAAACACGGAGAUUUCACCUUUACUCCCUGGC